RNAcentral lists this long non-coding RNA (235 nucleotides) under Gossypium raimondii (Peruvian cotton). Its description in RNAcentral is "long non-coding RNA (GRAI_LNC005412)". The record is from RNAcentral. Lineage: Eukaryota; Viridiplantae; Streptophyta; Magnoliopsida; Malvales; Malvaceae.
CCAUCAACUUUAGCAAUGCCAAUCAUCCUCCUCUAUUUCUGUUCAUGUACCACACAACCAGUUGCAGAAAAUUCAGUAAAGACACUUUCAUCCUUAAUUAGUUUACUGAUUGAAAGUAAAUUGCAGGACAGGUUUGGAACAUGUAACACUUCAUCAAGAAAAAAAAUUCUUUGUUAAUUGUAUAUUUUCAAUAGCAGCCACAGGUGAGUAAGAGCUAUCAGCAAUGCAAAUUCGG